Daucus carota subsp. sativus is the source of this 374-nucleotide long non-coding RNA. RefSeq lists it as uncharacterized. The record is from RefSeq and is a predicted model, not a curated record. The transcript is spliced from 2 exons. NCBI's taxonomy places the organism in Eukaryota, Viridiplantae, Streptophyta, Magnoliopsida, Apiales, Apiaceae.
AGGCAACGGUCGGUUCAAUUGGGGGCUAGGGUUCCUCUCUUUUCUUUUAUCGUUUCAGUCGAUUCAAGCAGGGGUUAAGAGUAAGGUAAUUUCCAGAGUUUUAUCUGCGCGACUCAGAGGAGGCAAGAUGCCAUCCUAUAGAUGAUCUAUUUUGGUAAGUCAUAAUACAUAUUUUGUAUUAAAUAGUUAUGACCCUAGUAUGCUUCUCAUCGGAGUUAUGCUAGUGGUAUAAGAUUUGCGUUCCAGAGAUUAUUGUAUAUUAUGUUUUGAUUUUGGAUUCUUGUUUCUAGCGCUAUAGCCUAAAAAGAUCUUGGAUUUGGGGUCAGAUUGUUUUAUUUUCUGUUAUUUAUUGAACAGAUUCGAUUUUACUUUUA